UACGGAGGGUGCAAGCGUUACUCGGAAUCACUGGGCGUAAAGGAUGCGUAGGCGGAUAAUCAAGUCAAAAGUGAAAUCCUACAGCUCAACUGUAGAACUGCUUUCGAAACUGGUUAUCUAGAAUAUGGAAGAGGCAGAUGGAAUUAGUGGUGUAGGGGUAAAAUCCGUAGAGAUCACUAGGAAUACCGAUUGCGAAGGCGAUCUGCUGGGACAUUAUUGACGCUGAGGCAUGAAAGCGUGGGGAGCAAACAGG
RNAcentral lists this ribosomal RNA (253 nucleotides) under uncultured bacterium. Its description in RNAcentral is "partial 16S ribosomal RNA". It matches the Rfam family "Bacterial small subunit ribosomal RNA", at positions 524 to 776 of the family's 1533-position model. The record is from RNAcentral.